UCGGGAAUUUUGGGCAAUGGGCGAAAGCCUGACCCAGCAACGCCGCGUGAAGGAUGAAGUAUUUCGGUAUGUAAACUUCGAAAGAAUAGGAAGAAUAAAUGACGGUACUAUUUAUAAGGUCCGGCUAACUACGUGCCAGCAGCCGCGGUAAUACGAAGGGAGCUAGCGUUGUUCGGAAUCACUGGGCGUAAAGCGCACGUAGGCGGAUAGUUAAGUCAGGGGUGAAAUCCUGGGGCUCAACCCCAGAACUGCCUUUGAUACUGGCUGUCUCGAGGUCGAGAGAGGUUGGUGGAAUUCCUAGUGUAGAGGUGAAAUUCGUAGAUAUUCGCAGGAACACCAGUGGCGAAGGCGACUUGCUGGACUUAUGGUGACGCUGAGACGCGAAAGCGUGGGGAGCAAACAGGAUUAGAUACCCCCGUAGUCCCUGAGCGGGCUGGCAAGGCGCAU
RNAcentral lists this ribosomal RNA (447 nucleotides) under uncultured bacterium. Its description in RNAcentral is "bacterial SSU rRNA". It matches the Rfam family "Bacterial small subunit ribosomal RNA", at positions 355 to 825 of the family's 1533-position model. The record is from RNAcentral.